RNAcentral lists this ribosomal RNA (119 nucleotides) under Salmo trutta (river trout). The record is from RNAcentral. Lineage: Eukaryota; Metazoa; Chordata; Actinopteri; Salmoniformes; Salmonidae.
UCUUACGGCCAUACCAGCCUGAAUACGCCCGAUCUCGUCCGAUCUCGGAAGCUAAGCAGGGUCGGGCCUGGUUAGUACUUGGAUGGGAGACCGCCUGGGAAUACCAGGUGCUGUAAGCU